CAACUCGAUUUUUUCUAUACUUUAUACCUUCAGAGUAUUAUUACACCCUGUAUUAUAGCAGUAUUUCAUUCUACGAGUAGCAUACAGCUCCUUGUCAAGAUCUCUGAUGGAAACUUAAAAACAAAAAGAUAUAAAAGAGCAAAAACUGCGCUCAUCUCCCAUGUAAGAGUAUUGUCUACUCUAUGGAAUAACUCCGCAGGCUUAAUAUUUGGUUGUGAGUAUAAUAUAUCAGUCCAAAAUUGGUACUCGAUCAUGACACCAUACAAAUUUAAGAAAUAUUUGAUGUUUCUCAAACUGCUUCGACUGAUUUCAAAGAAAUUACCAAAUGUAGGUCGUGCGACUGUUUGAAAAUGGUCAAACUGAAAUCCCAAAGGUAGGUAGCAGCAAUGUUGGUUCUACCAUUUUAAUGCACUAUCGUAGGACCUGAUAUUGCUAUCCCGUUUCAUCGUUGCGCUUAAACCUUUUGGUGCUCUCGUUGAAAGUACUUACAUAUAUCCGUUAAGUUUUUUGUGAACAUCCAUUCAAGGUUUAGUGAUGAUGGGUUUCAAGUAUUUUGUGUUGAGUUUGUAAUAGAACUGGGUAUUCACAGAGAAAGUGGAAAGCAGUUUCUGUUAUUCCGUUAUUCUAUCUAGCACCUGGGAUAUAUAUGGUUAUAUAUCCUCAAAAUUUACUAUAUAUCAUAUAAAUCGGCCAGAAUGUGAGAUAUUUCAAUUAAGCUAAACGGCAAAAUUUCUCUUGAUCCUUCCUAACUUGUAUAUAAAUAUUGAACUUCUUUUGUUUUAUCUUAAGAUAUAUAUAUUAUAUAUAUGUAUGUAUGUAUCAUCAGAAUAUAAUGCAAUCACCGCUUAAGGCAUUGUCUCAGCAUUUCUAAAUAUUACCAACAUUGAGAUCUUCGAAAAAAGUUGACAACGAGUUGGCAACAGCAACAUAAUAACUUCCAAACAAAUCCGUCAAAUGUCACAGCUUACUGUCGCCACAUAGCGGUUCAAUACCUUUGAUCUCUAAUACUCGUACAAACAGAAUUACAUACUUACAAAUGUAUUCACCUAUGCUCGAACGAAAUCGCGAAGGUACACUUGUUCGUCAAUUACGAGAAGCGAGCGCAAGACCUUUACUCGAAUAUAAAUAUAAACGGAAAAGAGGCAGAAAAAAUAAACGAGAAUAUCAAGAACACCGUAAUUGCUUACGAUCGUCGGCAACAUUUCAACUUGUUUUAAUGUAAUUUAUUAAACGACUCAAUAAGAUGAAAUAUAUGCUGGCAAUAAAAAUUGAUAUAAUACUUGAAAUACGUCAACUUCCCUACUUCAUUUGAUACGCUUGUAGGUGCUUAAGCUCAUUUAGAACUUCCUGCUUGCCGCCGGGCUUUGUCCUUGCAACCCAACUGCUGCUGCCACUCCACUCAGCCUGGUCACUCGUUUUUCAAUUUCAACUCAAAGCCACGACUGCCGGUUCUUUGUGCUUUUCUUGAACGCUUUGUGACAUUUUUUCUUACGACAAUUUGAUUCCGUUUGUUUUUCUGCUCUGUGCUCUCAUUUGCGGACGGCGCUUCGCUUUGCUGUGAUCAUUAAAUGUUUCAUUUGUCUCAAUAAAUUCUUUGCUAAUAAAGUAGGUUGAUAUAUUCUGUUGCUUUUGAUCGCGUGCGACAGUUAGUUUGCACGAGAUCACGAGAUUACUACCCUGAUUGAACUUUUCCAUAUUAGCUGUGAUAUGUACAUAUGUAAUUUAUGUAGGAAUGUGAGGUAUAAAUUUAUUCAGAAUUUAUUUAUGAUUGAAAAUGUUUUCAAUACGAAACUAUAAAAUUCUUUAAAAUAAAAUUGCUUCUCGAAACAAACAUUCGACUUUGAGGGUAUUUAAUAAUUUAGCCACUUUACUAACAUACAGUUUACAGUUCACAACAAAUUUCUUGCAAUUUUGGUACAAAAAUUGCAUAAAGUUGUGAGAAGAUCCCGGAGGUCUUUCUAACGUGAGAGGAUGCCACUAAAUGCGUUCAUUUUAUGGAAACGUGUUCCUUAUUACCCUGAGGUUAAGAUCCGAAUGAAGCGACUCUCUCCUUAAGCUGCAGCUUAGAUUGACUAUUACACCGACGAUGCAAACAGGGCAGAAAGUAUUGGCACAUAGUCGUGAGUGCACAUAUUGGGGCAAAUUUCUUCUGUUAAUGUAUUUGCAAUUUAUCUCUACAGCGACACGAUUUAUUAAGUUUGAUGUAAACAAAAGCCAAACAACAUCGCACCUUGGGAAAAUAAAUAGUCCUUCAGUAGGUUUAAUUGUGGCAUUGUAUAUAGGUAACUGCAGACUCUGGAACUAUUCUCCUCAGAAAACUAUUGAUACUGCGGCAAAAAAACAGUGAAGAAUGAAGACCACAAUAGACCAUGGAUUGCGGUGUAAACCCCAGUUUCCAUAUAUUAUAUUUUAAGCCAUGUACUCUAAAGAUGCCAUUUAUUUUAUUCACUAUAUAAGUUCCUGAAUAGUUUUUAUACAAAUUUGAUUCUAAAACUUCCUAUAUUCGCUAACCAAAUAAUAUUCCUAUAUAUCUCACUUAUUAAUCGUAUAUUCGUAUACGGUACGAAGUCAUCGUAGAUUCUUAACUUUUACAUAUACAAAGUUACAAAUAUUUCAAUAAAAGAAAAAGUGUGCAACUUGUUUCAUUUUUACAAAGAGCGUAUAUAAAA
Non-coding RNA from Bactrocera oleae (olive fruit fly), 2669 nucleotides. The record is from RefSeq and is a predicted model, not a curated record. Lineage: Eukaryota; Metazoa; Arthropoda; Insecta; Diptera; Tephritidae.